RNAcentral lists this ribosomal RNA (432 nucleotides) under uncultured bacterium. Its description in RNAcentral is "partial 16S ribosomal RNA". It matches the Rfam family "Bacterial small subunit ribosomal RNA", at positions 29 to 506 of the family's 1533-position model. The record is from RNAcentral.
AACGAACGCUGGCGGCAUGCCUAACACAUGCAAGUCGAACGAGACCUUCGGGUCUAGUGGCGCACGGGUGCGUAACGCGUGGGAACCUGCCCUUAGGUUCGGAAUAACUCCCCGAAAGGGGUGCUAAUACCGGAUAAUGUCUUCGGACCAAAGAUUUAUCGCCUUUGGAUGGGCCCGCGUUGGAUUAGCUAGUUGGUAGGGUAAAAGCCUACCAAGGCGACGAUCCAUAGCUGGUCUGAGAGGAUGAUCAGCCACACUGGGACUGAGACACGGCCCAGACUCCUACGGGAGGCAGCAGUGGGGAAUAUGGGACAAUGGGCGAAGGCCUAAGCCAGCAAUGCCGCGUGAGUGAUGAAGGCCUUAGGGUUGUAAAUCUCUUUUACCCGGGAUGAUAAGGACAGUACCGGAAGAAUAAGCUCCGGCUAACUCCGU